Molecule: long non-coding RNA, 5260 nt
Organism: Homo sapiens (human)
Lineage: Eukaryota; Metazoa; Chordata; Mammalia; Primates; Hominidae
Gene: PRANCR
Product: progenitor renewal associated non-coding RNA
Source: Ensembl
ACCCUCUGACCGCCGCCGUGACCCCCGUCGCUCCGGCUUCCCUCCAGGCGGCAGCGGAAGGUGGGAGCGACGACUGCAAAACGGCAGCGAUGGGGUGGGUAGGCAGGCCGCUUUCAGCGCGCUUCUAACAAGGUGGAGAGAGGCGCUUCACUUCCCUACCGCCCUUACCGCCGCUCCGUCUUGUCUCCCACCGACUCACAGGGAGGCUUGCUGCUCCUCCGCGGCCGUUACAGAGAGCGGGGCUUCUGCGGCCGCUACCGUUUCCCUGGGGCUAGGUUGCUUCGCAGAAGGCUCUGGCCCUGAGUCCGAGGGGGACUGCGGGGUCCAGGGGCGAUGAAUGCUCCCGCAACCUCCGGAGCUUGUGCGCGUACUUCAGGGACCGGCACCACGUCACCGUCACCUCCUGAGUAGUGAGUUCCCCUCUGAUGAAACCACUGGUGUGUUUACUCACCAUCCCCACCAUUUUUUUUUCCCCAACCUGAUGGAAGGAAGUACAUAAUGGAGAGCAAGUUUUUAAAGCACGGUCGUGUCGUGUGAACUUGCUCUAGCCAAAUUAGGUUUAUAGCACUUUUUUUGGCUCUCAUUACCUCCAGUCCCCACAUAAACAAGAGUGACCAGCUGGGUCAUCCGCAAGACCGUUUGAAAUUAUUGUGGCUUGGGUGGAAACUUAAAGGAGUGAAGUAUCUGCUUUCCAGAAAAAUCGUUGUCAUUCAAAGUGAAAUUAAACUUGUUUUCUUUGCAAUAAUUCGCCUUUAUUUCCUUGUAUAUCUGUAAACUCUUCACUUUUUUGUAAUUACUAGACAAUUCGGACUUAAAAAGAGCCUCAGCAUGUGUAUUUUGGAAUUGUGUAGCUUCAUAAUGUGAAAAUUAUUCUUUUCUAUUUGAGUAAAGUACAGUUAAUUUGAAGUAAAUAAAAUUUCUAUUUCCAUUGGUUGUUUCUUUUAAAAAGUCACCUUUUACUUACAAAAGAAUCACUGUAAUCCAGUUUACAUUUAUCAUUGAAGGUCAAAAGCAAGAAAUAGGAAGAAACACAAGCAUACUAUAAAAUAAAAGGUAACUGUCAUGUUUUUGAAGGUAAGGUGUUUUGACAUAUCAGCAGACAUUGUGUGAAUUUAUUUCAACUCCUAGUGGUACUGGUGUAGGUAGAAAAUGUUUUGCUUGGUUAUUCAUUUCAUCAAACACUCUACUUCACUGUUUUUUUUUCACUUCAGGAAAAUUCGAGGAGGAACAACACAUACUAGUGUCUUUCCUUUCUUUCUCCCCGUCUUCUGCAAAUAGUCCCUUCCUCUUCCUGCUUUCUCCUCCUUCUCAUGUUAACAUCUUCAACCAUAAGAUGGUGUGUUAAAAGAUUGAAUAUACCUCUAUGGAAUGACUUCCAGAGGGUGUAAGUCUGAUAUGAGAGUUUUAUUACCUUGAGUAUUUUACUGGAAGAGAUAGAACAACAAACAUUUUCAUAAUAAAUGUGUGGGUUAGGAGUGUUAGGAGAAAAUACACUGAUACUAUUACUUUCAAUAUUUGAUACUACUUACUUUGACUCUCACUGAACACCUAUUUGUUUAGGAUGAAUUCACUUUAAGCCGGGUUGAAGAACAAGCCUUUAAUUGUCCUAUUAUUUGUGCCAAAUCUAUUAUAAAUUUGUUAAAAAAUUUUUAAUACCUACCUUAGAGGGUACUCUAGGUAUUUAAUGAGCUAGCAUUUGUUAAAGGCUUGUAUAGUAAGAAUUCUUAUAGUAAGAGUUCUUACCAAUAGAUGGUAUAUUUUUUAAAUUGUCCUGUUGCAUCAAAAAGUUCAUCUUUAUUGGUAAUGUUGAUUAAGUUUGCCCAUUUGGUAGUUUGGUUUCUUUUAACUAUCUUACUAGAUUUUCUUACUUUUACCUGAAAAGUAGUCCUUACUAAUAGGCACAUGUUUUGUAUAUUUCCAAAAUAUGUAUUAUGUUAAAUUCUCUGUACACUUUAUUUAAAAAUUACAGACGUUGAGGGAAAAAAAAUACCCUAUUAAGGGAAGAAUGAGUUUGUGUAUAACUUGUAGAAGAAGGAGGCCACCCAUUUUUAGAAAAAUAUGGAUGGUAUUGAAAAUUUUGCCAUGGCAAGGGAUAAAAAGGACAGGCUUCUCUAAUGUGUCUGAAACAACAUUUGAAUCCCCUUUGUUCAUUCCCUAAAUCUGCUGCUCCUUUAGAAUUCCUGAUUUUCAUAAAUAGUACCACCAUUCACUUAUUUGCUCAGGCAUAAAACUUGGAAUUUUCUGAUUCUUCACACUCAUACAACUCAUCAGACAGUACCAUCAGUUCUUCCUGACAAAUACAUUCUGAAUUUAGCUACUUAUCACUUCCACUGGUACAACCCUUGGGAGCCACCAUCAUCUGUUGCUGGACCACAGCAAUAACCACACUAGUUGCUAUCACUUUCUAUCUGUACCCUCAUGAAUAUUUUCCCAUUUAAACCAUUCUCUAUAUACCAACCAAAGCAAUCACUUAAAAAAUGUUAUUAGGUUAUGUCACUCCCUUGUUUAAAACCCUCCAAUAGCUUCCUUAUGCACACAGAAUGAAAUCGGAAUUCCUUACCAUAGCCUUCAAGACUGCAUAAUCUGGCUCCUGCCCACUUCUCCAUCUUCCCAGGAAGCAGCACAGGAAGUUGUUCUCACCCUUCUUACUGCCUCCUUUCUGUCGUGGGCUGUGCUUUUUCUAGUCUGUAGCAGAGUCUGUUAGUUGUCCCCAAAAAUUCCUCCAUUUUUUUCAUAGUAAUAGACAUGGAUACAUGGCUACCCAGAACAAAGACUAUAUUUUGCAGCCUUCCUUGUAGCCAUGUAAUAGUGCUGGCUGAUGGGAUGUAAGCAGUAUAUCAUGUGGCACACUUGUAAAACCAUCCUUAAAAGAUAGUUGGUGCACACCUUCAAUGCGGCUUUUCCUUUAUCCUGUACCGUGGAAUAUAGAUGUGAUGGCUUAGAACUGUAGCUGCCAAUUUGUGCCUCAUGCAAGUUCUCUCAUUCUAGGGAUGGCAAAACUAAACUGGUGGAAACCAGGGUCUGUGAGAACUUUAUGGAUCAGAGCACCAUGCUAGCCCUGCAGUCGUAAAUGUCUAUAUUAUUAAAGCCACUAUUUUGGAGUCUCUUGUUCUCAACUGAAUUUAAUCUUACCUGAUACUCUGUCUCAGGGCCUUUGCACUUGCUUUUUAUUUUUUAUUUAUUUAUUUUUUUUCUGCCUGGGAUGUGGUCUUCUGUCUUGGAUAUGGCUGACUCAUUCUCUUCCUUCAGGUUAACCCAAAUAUCUCUGACAGGCCUUCCCUGGCCACCGUAUCUAAAAUAGCUCACGUUCCCAUUUAUUCUCUGUCAAUCACGUGCCCCUCUAUUUUCUUAAUAGCAUUUAUAAUUUAUCAUUAUCUUGUUUAUUCACUGUUUAUUUUCUACCUCCCUUCACCCUACAAAAAUAUAAACUACACCUGUUUUUUUCCACUACUUUAUCCUUCACACAUGGUAGGCAUUAGAUAAAUGCUGUUAAAUUAGUGAGUGAAUGAAUCAACAAAAUUCUUAUCCAAGAUUAGCUAGACUUUUUAAAUAAUAAAUGAGUAAAUGUCAACAGAUAUCCUUAACACAAAAUUUGUAAAAUCCAAUCUAGGAAACAGGAAAAACAGUACUAAACUAAUAGGAUAUUCCUGACCUCCAACUUAAUAAAGAAGAUGUCUACCUUUUUCUGGGAAAUCUGUAAGGCUAGUACAAGUUAAAAAAAAAAAGACUGCACUGCAGUAUAUCCAGGGCUAAAAUUCACACUAAAAGGGGUCUGAAUUAUAAUUUACUAGACCUCAGUUUCUUCAUCUUAAAUAUGUGUAAGCUUUGAAUGGUAAUACUAUAACAGUUAAAAGUUUAAUAGUAAGCCCAACUUAUGAGUGACAAAACAUGUUAAACAUUAAUUUAGUCUUCAGGCACUAUUUUAACAAGUGGUUAUUUCUUGAUAAUACUGGCAAGGAUUCAGAGAAACAGGGCUGCUUAUAUUGCUGAGAGUGUAUGUUGGCAGCACUUUUCUAGAGUGCAGUUUGGCAAUAUGUAUCAAAAGCCUUGAGCCAUGUGCAUUUGACCCAGCGAUUCUUUUAGAAAUGUGUCAUAAGCAGGCUGGGUGCAGUGGCUCAUGCCUGUAAUCCCAGCACUUUGGGAGGCCAAGGCGGGUGGAUCACCUGAGGCCAGGAGUUUGAGACCAGCCUGGCCAACAUGGUGAAACCCCGUCUCUACUAAAUACAAACAAAUUAGCUAGGUGUGGUGGUGCACGCCUGUAGUCCCAGCUACUUGGAGGCUGAGGCAGGAGAAUCGCUUGAACCCGGAAGGCGGAGGUUGCGGUGAGCUGAGAUCAUGCCACUGCACUCCAGCUUGGGUGACAGAGCAAGACUCUGUCCAAAAGAAAAGGCCAGGCACGGUGGCUCAGAGAGCCACCUGUAAUGCCAGCACUUUGGGAGUCUGAGGUGGGGUUGGAUCACCUGAGGGCACAAGUUGAAGACCAGCCUGGCCAACAUGGUGAGACCCCAUCUCUACUAAAAAUACAAAAAUUAGCUGGGCAUGCUGGCGGGUGCCUGUAGUUUCAGCUAUUGGGAAGGCUGAGAUGGGAGAAUCACUUGAGCCCAGGAGGCAGAGGUUGUAGUGAGCCGAGAUUGUGCCACUGCAUUCCAGCCUAGGUGACAGAGCGAGACUCCGUCUCAAAAAAAAAAAAAAAAAAGAGAAAUGUAUUAUAAGCAAAUAAGGGUGUGUUUAACAAGUUAAUUGCAAGAGUAUUCUUUACUGCAUCAUUUAUUAGGAGAUUGGUUAAGCAACAUCCAUACAGUGAACAGUAUUCAGCCAUUUGAAAUGAUGUGGAGGAAAUUUUAUUGACAUGAUACAUUGUUAAGAGCAAAAGAAAAAGUUUUAAAAUACAAAUGUUUAAUUUGUAAGUCUCACAAACAUCAUCUAACGAAAUAUACACGAGGUGUUAAGUCAGCCUUGCAAACGUAACUAUUUUUUCAUUAUUUUUAUAUCAGUUACUGUUAUUGGAGCAUUUUAUAUUGACUGAGGAUCUUUAUUAAAACUUCUUCAGCCUUCUGUGAAAUCUUGUUAUGAUGGCUAUAGUGACACUAUAUAAAACACAUAACCAGAAUAUGUUUAUGCUCAAAUAUUUCAAGCAAUAUUUGAUGCUUAAAAUACCAAAGUGACAAUGAAAAUGAAAGAAAUUUGGAUAGUUCCUUAGAGUUAUUUGUUUGUGUUUCAGAUAUGAACAUAAAGUAUGUUUUUAAUAUUACCAGUUUUG